Molecule: ribosomal RNA, 253 nt
Filed under: uncultured bacterium
Lineage: Bacteria
Description: partial 16S ribosomal RNA
Rfam family: Bacterial small subunit ribosomal RNA
Source: RNAcentral
GACGGAGGGUGCGAGCGUUAAUCGGAAUUACUGGGCGUAAAGCGCAUGUAGGCGGCCGAACAGGUCAGGUGUGAAAUCCUCGGGCUUAACCUGGGAAGUGCACUUGAUACUGUCCGGCUAGAGUUUGGCAGAGGAAAGUAGAAUUCCCGGUGUAGCGGUGAAAUGCGUAGAGAUCGGGAGGAAUACCAGUGGCGAAGGCGGCUUUCUGGGCCAAUACUGACGCUGAGGUGCGAAAGAGUGGGGAGCAAACAGG